GAGUGAUGAGAUCACCGUCUCCCAACGGUGGC
RNAcentral lists this small RNA (32 nucleotides) under Bombyx mori (domestic silkworm). RNAcentral describes it as "ovarian small RNA-16020". Lineage: Eukaryota; Metazoa; Arthropoda; Insecta; Lepidoptera; Bombycidae. The record is from RNAcentral.